UACGUAGGGUGCAAGCGUUGUCCGGAAUUAUUGGGCGUAAAGAGCUCGUAGGCGGUCUGUCGCGUCGGCUGUGAAAACUCGGGGGCUCAACCCCGAGCCUGCAGUCGAUACGGGCAGACUAGAGUGCUGUAGGGGAGACUGGAAUUCCUGGUGUAGCGGUGAAAUGCGCAGAUAUCAGGAGGAACACCGGUGGCGAAGGCGGGUCUCUGGGCAGUAACUGACGCUGAGGAGCGAAAGCGUGGGGAGCGAACAGG
This 254-nucleotide ribosomal RNA is filed under the name uncultured bacterium. RNAcentral describes it as "partial 16S ribosomal RNA". It matches the Rfam family "Bacterial small subunit ribosomal RNA", at positions 524 to 776 of the family's 1533-position model. The record is from RNAcentral.